Molecule: ribosomal RNA, 497 nt
Filed under: uncultured bacterium
Lineage: Bacteria
Description: partial 16S ribosomal RNA
Rfam family: Bacterial small subunit ribosomal RNA
Source: RNAcentral
GAUGAACGCUGGCGGCGUGCCUAAUACAUGCAAGUCGAGCGAACGGACGAGAAGCUUGCUUUUCUGAUGUUAGCGGCGGACGGGUGAGUAACACGUGGAUAACCUACCUAUAAGACUGGGAUAACUUCGGGAAACCGGAGCUAAUACCGGAUAAUAUUUUGAACCGCAUGGUUCAAAAGUGAAAGACGGUCUUGCUGUCACUUAUAGAUGGAUCCGCGCUGCAUUAGCUAGUUGGUAAGGUAACGGCUUACCAAGGCAACGAUGCAUAGCCGACCUGAGAGGAUGAUCGGCCACACUGGAACUGAGACACGGUCCAGACUCCUACGGGAGGCAGCAGUAGGGAAUCUUCCGCAAUGGGCGAAAGCCUGACGGAACAACGCCGCGUGAGUGAUGAAGGUCUUCGGAUCGUAAAACUCUGUUAUUAGGGAAGAACAUAUGUGUAAGUAACUGUGCACAUCUUGACGGUACCUAAUCAGAAAGCCACGGCUAACUACGUG